This 90-nucleotide transfer RNA is filed under the name Pseudomonadota bacterium. RNAcentral's name for it is "Proteobacteria bacterium tRNA-Ser". It matches the Rfam family "tRNA". From Rfam's summary of the family: Transfer RNA (tRNA) molecules are approximately 80 nucleotides in length. Their secondary structure includes four short double-helical elements and three loops (D, anti-codon, and T loops). RNAcentral also lists the same sequence under 1 other name. The record is from RNAcentral. Lineage: Bacteria; Pseudomonadati; Pseudomonadota.
GGAGAGGUGGCAGAGCGGUUGAAUGCGCACGCCUGGAACGCGUGUAAGUGCGAAAGUGCUUCGAGGGUUCGAAUCCCUCUCUCUCCGCCA